This 437-nucleotide long non-coding RNA is filed under the name Amborella trichopoda. RNAcentral's name for it is "long non-coding RNA (ATRI_LNC001467)". Lineage: Eukaryota; Viridiplantae; Streptophyta; Magnoliopsida; Amborellales; Amborellaceae. The record is from RNAcentral.
UCAAUUUUCACGAUUUUCAUGUUUAUAGAUCUACCUGAUUUUAACCAUUUUUUGAGUUUAAAUUUUUCUAAUUAGAUAUAAAAAUUGUUUUUAAAAUAAUCCUAAAAUUUUUUACAAUAAAAUUAUAUAUAUUAUGAUAAAAUUUGGAGUUGCAUCUUAAUUGUAUUGUUUAAAGUUAUAGAAACGGCCCCCUUUAGAAAUUUCCAUUUACUCUCUUUCUUUUUUUCAUAUGGUAUAGAAAGCGACAAAUUUGCAUUUAGAAAUUUCCAUUUACUCUCUCUUAUAGAAAAUCCCUUUAGAAACACACUUACAAAUUUUCAUUUAGAAAGAAAUGACCUCUCUCUCUCUCUUAUUGAUGUUUUUUUAUACUCUCUCUCUUAUUGAUGCUUCUCUCUCUCAUUGAUGUCUUCUCUCUCUCACUAGCUAGCUAUUUUGAU